Chinchilla lanigera (long-tailed chinchilla) is the source of this 646-nucleotide long non-coding RNA. RefSeq lists it as uncharacterized. The transcript is spliced from 3 exons. NCBI's taxonomy places the organism in Eukaryota, Metazoa, Chordata, Mammalia, Rodentia, Chinchillidae. The record is from RefSeq and is a predicted model, not a curated record.
GUUACCUGUCCAUCCCAUAAUUCUGAAUGCUUUUAAUCCUUCUCCAGGAGUCAUCAAAAUUUUAGGUAUUCCAGCAUUGCUUAUGAGUCUGACUCCAAAUUCUCAACCAAGAUUUAAGGCAAUGGCUCUGUAAAAAUCAAAAAGUAAUGUACAUAAUUUGAACCAAAAGUUCAAGGCAAAUAUCCCUGUUCCAAAAGGAAGAAUGGAAAAAUAAUGAGAAAAUUAGAACAAAGCAAAACUGAAUUUCACCAAGGCAAACUCUAAGUUCUAUAGCAACAUAUCUGACAUUCAGGAAAUAUGGCAUGAUUUGUGCUAUAAACAGAUUGAGUAGCCCCGUCUCCGUGGUUUUAUUGGUGGUGGCCCACAGGGCCACUGUCUUGUGAAGGCUCUACUCAUCUCCUGCAACAUAUCUUGGUCUUUGAAAUCUCAGUGGAAACCUGUAUGAUCCUAUUAAUCUUUAUUACUUGUGCUUGAACAAUCAGCACUGUGUGGAUAAUGCCAAGGCCUAGUGCUACUGAUGAAUUCAUGCCUGCUUGUGCUGCUAGGAGCUUUCUUCUUCCAUUCCCUCCCACCAUGGUAUUUCCACUUUGGAGCCAACCAACCAGAGACUGAACCUCCUGAAAUGGUGAAUGAAAAUAAAUUUCUC